Long non-coding RNA from Mesocricetus auratus (golden hamster), 506 nucleotides. RefSeq lists it as uncharacterized. The record is from RefSeq and is a predicted model, not a curated record. NCBI's taxonomy places the organism in Eukaryota, Metazoa, Chordata, Mammalia, Rodentia, Cricetidae. The transcript has 3 exons.
UUCCUCUCUUUUAGUUGGCAAACUCAGUCCCUAGUUAUGACUGCCAAAACUGAAGUACUGGCUGAGUAUGGUCUUAAGAGGCAAGUAGAUAUGCCAUAUGAUCCUCUCAUGUGACUCCUGAAAGUGGCAGGAAACCCUGGCAGUACGGCAAGUUGCAACACCCAACCAGCCAUGCAGUCACAGGAGCGAAGAUGCAGACUCUACCGCAUGCUGUAUUGUGAGGCUAUGAUGCUAAGUACUUUAGAAGACAAUGUUUGAAAUCGAGAAACUGGGGGCCUAAGUGAAGAAAAUAGAGGCACAACUCCAGCAGGACAUACAUUGCUCUUUAUGGAUCACACGGAGUUCACAGCUAGAUCUAUAAUUUGGGUACUCCAUAAGAAAAAAAAGCAAGGCUACUUGCCAAAAGAGCAAGAAAAUAUGCCCCUCUAGUCUGUUAAAAACAUGCUGUUCUUUACUCACUAUUUAAUGUCUCCCUAAGUUAAUAAAAACUGGCUUUUUUAUUUUUU